Molecule: long non-coding RNA, 202 nt
Filed under: Hordeum vulgare
Lineage: Eukaryota; Viridiplantae; Streptophyta; Magnoliopsida; Poales; Poaceae
Description: long non-coding RNA (HVUL_LNC009598)
Source: RNAcentral
CACCCUACCUCAAAAUCAUAUAUCAUAAGGCUAUGUUACUGUAGAACAAUUUGCCAAAUGCACAAACAAAAAUCCACAUAUCUAUUUAUAACAUAGUCAUAUGCCAAAUUUGGCAUAUUCCUCUUGUGGACAGUUCCACAAUUGGACAUUACCCUAAAUUGAAUAUUGCUAAAUGGAUUAAUAAAACAAAAAAAAUCAACAC